AACAAGGUCUCCGUUGGUGAACCAGCGGAGGGAUCAUUAUCGAGUUAUUCAACUCCCAAACCCUAUGUGAACUUACCACUUGUUGCUUCGGCGCGCGCUUCGGCGCCGCCGAGGACACUUAAACUCUUUGUUUUUAUAAGCAUUUCUGAGUGGCCGAAAGGCAAAAAUACAAAUGAAUCAAAACUUUCAACAACGGAUCUCUUGGUUCUGGCAUCGAUGAAGAACGCAGCGAAAUGCGAUAAGUAAUGUGAAUUGCAGAAUUCAGUGAAUCAUCGAAUCUUUGAACGCACAUUGCGCCCGCCAGCAUUCUGGCGGGCAUGCCUGUUCGAGCGUCAUUUCAACCCUCGAGCCCGACUCUUUUGAGGACGGCUCGGCGUUGGGGGACGGCAGACUCCCCCCGGCAUCUCGCCGGGGACGCCGCCCCCGAAAUCUAGUGGCGGCCCUCCGAGGCGACCUCUGCGUAGUAACUUGUUCUCGCACCGGAAAGCUCAGAGCGGCCACGCCGUAAAACCCCAACUUUUUUCAGGUUGACCUCGAAUCAGGUAGGACUACCCGCUGAACUUACGCAUAUCAAUAAGCGGAGGAA
RNAcentral lists this ribosomal RNA (586 nucleotides) under uncultured eukaryote. RNAcentral's name for it is "eukaryotic LSU rRNA". The stretch from base 182 to 335 matches the Rfam family "5.8S ribosomal RNA". The record is from RNAcentral.